CGGGCGUCCUCACAAAUUACCUGCAUUCAGAGAUUCAUACCGGCACAGGUCGGUGUGCGAAGUCCCUUUUGGGGCCUUAGCUCAGCUGGGAGAGCACCUGCUUUGCAAGCAGGGGGUCGUCGGUUCGAUCCCGACAGGCUCCACCAUAUUGAGUGAAAAGACUUCGGGUCUGUAGCUCAGGUGGUUAGAGCGCACCCCUGAUAAGGGUGAGGUCGGUAGUUCGAGUCUACCCAGACCCACCACUCUGAAUGUAGUGCACACUUAAGAAUUUAUAUGGAUCAGCGUUGAGGCUGAGACAUGUUCUUUUAUAACUUGUGACGUAGCGAGCGUUUGAGAUAUCUAUCUAAACGUGUCGUUGAGGCUAAGGCGGGGACUUCGAGUCCCUAAAUAAUUGAGUCGUAUGUUCGCGUUGGUGGCUUUGUACCCCACACAACACGGCAUGUAGCUCCGAGGCAACUUGGGGUUAUAUGGUCAAGCGAAUAAGCGCACACGGUGGAUGCCUAGGCGGUCAGAGGCGAUGAAGGACGUGGUAGCCUGCGAAAAGUGUCGGGGAGCUG
This 557-nucleotide unclassified non-coding RNA is filed under the name Xanthomonas campestris pv. armoraciae. Its description in RNAcentral is "partial contains 16S-23S ribosomal RNA intergenic spacer and 23S ribosomal RNA". The stretch from base 166 to 239 matches the Rfam family "tRNA". Lineage: Bacteria; Pseudomonadati; Pseudomonadota; Gammaproteobacteria; Lysobacterales; Lysobacteraceae. The record is from RNAcentral.